Passer domesticus (house sparrow) is the source of this 5678-nucleotide long non-coding RNA. RefSeq lists it as uncharacterized. NCBI's taxonomy places the organism in Eukaryota, Metazoa, Chordata, Aves, Passeriformes, Passeridae. The transcript is spliced from 3 exons. The record is from RefSeq and is a predicted model, not a curated record.
CCCCUUCAGAAUGUUUUCCUUAAUAAGCACAAUAGCUCUAUACCCACCUGUGAAGAAAGAUGAGCAGGUGUGCAGACCUACUCCAGGCAACAGGCUCCAGCUGGGAUCACUCACCUCUCUACUACCCACAGCUACAAGGGAGCAGGACAUGCCUCUGUUGAGAGGCUUGGUAGUCAGUGCUUCUAUCUUAACUGGCUUGGUUCUUAAAGUUUAGAAGCAAGCCAAGGCAAAGCUGCACUGUGAUCAAUGGAAAGCAGAGAUUGAAAGGAAAAGGGAUAUAAAGGGAUGGAGGUCGGCACCAUAUGUACUGGUGGGCUCUAAUCUGCUGGAGCUGCCCCACUCUUGGUGUGUGUGACAACCAAAUACAACUUACUGGUGCAGCAGAGCACAUUGCUAAUAUCUGCCAGGAUCGACAGCUCUCAGCUUCGAGGUAUUGCCCCAGUUACUAGGCUGGAGACCUGCUUGUGCACCCCAAAGGAAGAUGAGCUACCAGCUUGAGAAAACAUCCCCUGAGUAAGCAGUGGGAACAUGACACGGAGACGGAUGGAGUUGCUGUGAAGGUGACAGGGUGGAGUAUUGUUGCCUUUCAAGGUCAAUUUUUUUUAUGGACACAUAUGAAAAAUGAAUUCACUGGGAGCAGGGACUUCAGCAGAUCUCUGGUUCAGCCUUCUGCUCCAAGCAAAGUGACUAGACUACUAUGGGAUUUCAGGUCUUGAAAACCACAAGACUUAUCCUGCACUGCCUCCCUUGCCAAUCUGAAUUAUUGCACAGCUGCUUUCAGGGUGCAAAAGUCUCUCUUCGAAUCCAGUCUCUGCCUCUCAGUUCUUCCUAUACCCAGUGUCUUCCCACUGUGCACUCAGCAGUGCAGUGAGAAUGCCUCCAUUUACUGGGUAACCUCAAAGGGUCUCCUGCUAGACACCCCUGAGCUGUCUUGUCUUCAGGUUUAACAUGCCUGGGUCCUUCAGCCUCUCCUCAGAGGGCAGGUGCUCAAACCCUGGCCAGCCUAGUGGUACUUUGCUGAACCCAUGUGUUGGGGGACCCAAAACUGUGUGCACUAUUCCAAAUGCAAUACAAAAAAAGGCUUAUCUUAAAGGGGUCAUCCCGUGUCUUGAUCUGGUGACUGUGCUUCUGAUACCAGCAGCCCAAGGUUGCUGUAUAACCUUCUGUGCUGCCAGAACAUGCUGCUGGCUCACAUUUAGAUGCUUGUCCUUCAAGGCCUCUGAGGUCUUUCGGAAGAUGAACUCCACAGGCAGUGGAGUGGACUUGCUGAAUGACUCUGGAGCGCUCUUCAAAAGCCCUUAUAUCUCCAUUGCCCAUAUAGAAAAUUGACUGAUUUUUUUCUCUGAAGGAAGCUUUAUAAAUCUGGCCGUGUUUACCCUACCAGUCUUUGUUCAAGAACAGCACUGCGUCAUCUAGAGAUGUUAACUCAGAAAUAAUUGUUGCCUGGAUGGCUGUUAACUAUGCAGCUCCUUGUUAGCAUUUUCAGAGGCACCUGAAGAUUUAAUGGGAAAGAAAACAUUUAUUCCAAAUUACAUUGAUUUGUAGUACAAACAGAAUGUAUGCAGGUAUUCCAGUAUAAAUAGGUGAAAGAGAAAACAUCAGAAAAUGCAUGUACAUAAAGAUUUGCUUGCUUGCCACUGCUCCUGAAAAUAGCAGCUGCUGGUGUGGCAUCAGACUGCUUUUGCACAGGAAUGAGUGCAAACCAUGCACCUUCCUUCUUUCACCCUUGUCCAUGGCUUGUACCCAGCAAUAAAUGAUUGGGACAGCACCAUUCCUCUUGCAUCUGACUGUAGCUCAAGUUCUUUUUUCUGUUCUCCAUUGCCUUUCAAUGUAAUCUUUCUUUUUCUUAUUUUUUUCUCUUUUUUAGCUGUUUCUAGAUGUGCCUUUUUCUUAGGAUGAGCUGCAUCUCUCAGAUAAUAUGCCAUACUCCCAUACCGUAGAGAGACAGAUCAACUUCUCAAUCUCUGCAAUUCUGAAAUGCUGAGAUUGUAGGUUAUUGCCAAAUUGUCAGGACAAAUCAACAGCGAGGGCUUAUCCAAAGGUUCCUGUUGGCAACUCAGGCUGUUUCUAGAGAGUGGAUCCAAAAGUAGUCUGCAAAAUUGUUGUUUGCCAGCAAAUGCAGAAGCCUGGUCCUAUAGCUCUGAGAAUGACCUUACUGGCCUCAGUGGGACUGUUGUGUGACAGGGAUUGCAGGAUCAGAUCCUCCAGUAUGUUUGAUAAAUGAUGCAUGUCCAUGGGGAAAUUGAUUUGUUUAGCCAUUCAUGAAUGCAUGCAUUUUGAAAAAGCAAAAUUUUGCUUACAGUUUCCAAAGUAAAAGAGCAAAUUUCCUGUCUACUUCUAAAAAUGUAACAUUGUCUUAAUGUCAAGAUGACAAUCUGAAACAACUCAUAUAAUAGGAUCUAAAUUAUGGUGCAGAAUCAUUAUCUCCCAUCAUCACAGUUAGCUACAAAUAAUGAAGUAAAGCUGUAUGGCACUGAAACAGAGGGAAAUGUUCACAUUAACACAAAAAGUAAAUUAGUGAGACCACAUUCACGGUUAGUGGUCUGUUUGUUUUCCUUCUGUCUGCAUGAAGCAGGAUGGGCUACAGUAAUAAGGAAAUACAGGUUUCUCUUCUUUCUCUGCUCAGUUUAACACCAGUUUGUCUUCUUUCUCUGCUCAGCUUCAGAGGGCAGGAGACAGGUCUGCUUUGGUUCUCUGAUAACCCAGUAUCGCAGAGCCAGGACAGGAGGUCACUGUGUUCUGUAGUCUGCAAAAGAUGUGCAAAGCACAACAAGGGGGAGACGAACUGGCCUUGAUUUAAGGUAUCUAUAAACAACAGUGUGGGAAAGCUGAGUGUCUUCUACUGCAUGCUUCUGUUAACAAGGUAAAAAGCUGUAAAAUCAGCAAAAUAGGAUUACAGUGUAAGCGGUACUCAGCUAACUGCAGAGUGAUUUGGCCUUCAGGCUAGGAGGAGUUACCCAGCUGUCAUGGUUUAACCCCAGCUGUCCAUCAAGUACCACACAACUGUUUGCUCACUGGCCCCCUCCCCAGUGUAGUAUCUGAAGAUGAGUAUCUGAAACUAAAGAUAAUCCUUCUAGGUUGAAAUAAAUAUAAUAAUGGGAAAAAACAAAACAAAACCCCAAACAAAAAACCAGAACAAAGCCAAACUAUGAUAGAAAGAGAGGAAUAAAACCUAAGAAUAAGUGAUGCACAAUACCACUUAUCACCACUCACUAACCAAUGCCCAACCUCUCCCUGGGCCGCCCUCUGUGGCUCCCAGUCACUUUUCCCCAGUUCAUGGAGUGAGAAUGACAUUCCAUGGUAUGGAAUAUCCCUUUGCCAGUUCAGGUCACCUGCUCUGGCUGUUCUCCCUCCCCGUGUUGUGGCAAAGCCUGGGCAACAGAAAAUACCUGCAUUCAGAGGAAACACUACCUAGCAACAACUGAAACACCAGUGUGUUUUCAGCAUUAUUCACAUACUAAAUACAUAGCAUUGCACUGCACAAAUUUCUUCUAUUUCAGCUGAAACAAAACCACCAACUUGUCAGCAUUGUCCUUCAUAUAGAUGAAAAGCCAGUACCUGAGCCAAGGGUUCAGAAAUAACCAAGUGUGUGCUGCUGCAGCUGUGUGUUCUGUGGGAUGUAGCUGGAUUCUGUCUGUGCCUCCAAAUGGGUGUGGGCUACCUACCUGCCACCUUCAGAAUCUGGCCUGGGUGUUGCCCUUCCCUUAUAGCAGAGGCUGCUUCAGCUUGUGAGAGUACUUUAUUGCACUAGUAGAAACAAUUCUGGAUGGCUGAAGAUCACAACACAGACAUCUACUAGAAAGAAAACGUCAGUUUGGAAAAGAAGGGCUAAAUCCUUUCUUGUUCAUCCCAAAAACCUAGAGCACAAACUGAAAACAUCUGAGGCUGAACACCCAAACAUCUGCAUGCAAAUACAGCAAGAAUAUGCUGCCUAGUCCAAAGGAUCUACAAAACUCUCUUCAGGUGUCUUACCACACAUACCUUAUACCCAUGUCAUUUGCUGCAAAUCCUAAUCUGUCACAGGAGCAAAGCCAGAAGAGGGAGGAAGAACGUACCAAUGUCCUACUUCUCACAAGUACAGACCGUUAGAGGUGUGUGGGAAAAGUGUACCUUGAGUAUGAGCAAGUGCAAUGUGCCUCACUCUGUCUCAAAGUCACGAACACUGUCAAUAUAUACUGUUGUCCUUAUGGACCUUGGCUUUGUCAGUAUCCAGGGCUUCUGAAGGGCAGCAAUCCUUGCCCUUCAAAGAAGGCUAACACCUCAAGGGAAUAAACUUUUGUGGUCCCCAGAGGUGAGCAGUCUGGCCCAGUCGCACUCCCAGAACACAGACCUGCAAAGGAGUCAAGUCAGGUCUCCCUCCUUCUCUAGGACAUCACAAACGAAAGACAGGCUUAAGGUUUUUUGUGAGGGAAGACAAAUUGCCUCAGACAUGAAUUUCUCAAAUGUUAUUUGGAAGUUUAAGUCCUUUUGCUUAUUGAAUUUCUCCCAGAGCAUGCACAGAGAUGCUAGGGUUUAUUAGCAUAGCUUAUGAAAGAUGUUGCACUAAUUACUUAGUUCCACAUGAUGUGUUAGGAGAUAUGGGAUUAAUAAAUGUAGUUUGUUAUUAAAAAAUAAAAAAAACUUGUUGAGGAGGGAAGAUAUGCACUGCAAUAUGCUUGCUUAUCAAGCCCUUGGUCUUUCAAUCUUUAAAGCAUAUCAGCAUUUCCAGAUGAAUAAACUGUUUGUGAAGUAUUUGUUGUACCCUGCUUGAGAUGGAUGACAGAAAAUACAACUGUCAAAUAUUCAACUUUCUCAAAGUUUAAGCAAAAACCCAAACAAAUCCAGAUAUUUAAGCACAUGUACAAGUUGUUAGGUUAAUCUUGCAUAAAUAGUUUUUCUUAGCAUGCUGUCCCAAGGUGUAAAGGCACCUCCUAAAUAAGUUGGGUUAGACUAUAUUCUCCUUAUUGUACACACAAAAAUUAGGAGUUACAAAAAUCCUUUUUUGUGACCAUCUUUGCUCAGUGUUUGGUAACUCCUGAGAAUUGUGUGCUGAUGGGUUUGGGUGAGUUUUCUGUUUUAGCUUGGUUUAGGUUUGGUUGUCAGGUUUUGGUUUGGAGUUUUUUUAUUGUUUGGUGGAUUUGGGGUUGUUAUUCUUCAAGUAAGUAAAAAUUUGGAGGUUUACAAAGGACUCACAAUUCAAGUAAUGAGAUAGUUUUAAAAAGUCUCUUGCUUUGAGCUAGUUGUGUAAUGAUGGGUUAAUGUUUUCUAAACAGAUUCCUGAAUCUAUUUUGAAGAUGGAUGUGUUAGAUUCUCUCAUUAUGUACACCUGUGUUAUGUAAUUCUCUGAUAGAUGGGGCUUAUAUAUUUGGACAGUUUUCUACCAUUAAUUUCUAAUUAGAUACUUGUCAACAGUGUGAAUUGGUAUUGCUUUUGUUCAGCAACCCUGUGAUUGCUCUGUCCACCCUAAUUAAUGAACAGCUUCCUUAUAAGUAGAUUAAUAGAGGUAGUUCCAUUACCUAAAGUUAUUUCGGUCACUGUGUUAUAGUACACCUCAUUAGAGAAUUGUAAAAUGAAGCAGCAUUUCAACUAGCUACGACUGAAUACCUGAUUCUUUUUGUUCUGUCAGCUAUUCUUUUAACUGUUUUUCUUUGUGGAUCUUUUUGAGAAAAUCCUAGCUUCUGCCCACUGUUCUUGUGCAC